GGGCAGUAGAGAGGGGGCGGCCCUGAAGCCCUAGUCGUUCCUCCCCAGCAACCAUCCCCAGCCUUCUGGCCGCCACCAGGUCCCCUGGAGAUGGGUGCAAGUGUGCCCAGAGCUCAGGGGAACCCAAACCUAACUCAGGAGUGCCCAGGUUGGGGGUCUCUGUCUGCCCAAUCUCUCAAAGGCCUUCAUUUUUCCUUUUUUUUAGGGCCGCACCUGCAGCAUAUGGAAGUUCCCUGGUUAAGGGUCAAAUCAGCGGCAGCUGCCAGCCUACACCAGCCACAACAAUGCUGGGAUCUGAAGCACAAGUGCCAGAUCCUUAAACAGGGAUCCUCAGAGGCCUUCUUUGACUCCCUACCCAAAAUGGGGUUCCUGGCAGGUCACCACCUGGGCCCUAUUGAUUUCUUGCACUGAACUUAGCGCGUAGACUUAGGCGUUUGUGUAUUGCAUCCAUCCUAACUAGUCUGUGACCUCCAGGAGAGCAAGACACCUGGCCCGUCUGACUUCCCUCUGCAUGCCUCGCACACAGCAGGCCUCAGCCAUUCCUGAGUGAGCAGAACGCAGGGGCAGUGCCCCCUGGCCAGGCAUGUAAGGUCCUGAGGACACAGCCAAGAACAGGACAAAGUCCCUGCUCUUAGGAUGGACCAUAUGAGCCAGUAUUCAUGGAGGACCCACUACGUUCCAGGCGCUGUCCUGGGGGCAGAGACACAGGAGGGAACAAAGCAAGGCCUUUGCUCUCCAGGAGCCUCACGGCGGCUGGAGGAGACAGGCCACACACUCAGAAAGGGCUGUGAUCAUUCCAGUUCCGGAUGUCAGAAGGCUACAGUGGGUCAUCAGAGCUGCGUUCCUUGCCUUUCCCGUUUCUGAAGGCCGCCUGCCCUCCCUGACUCAAGGCUCCUUCCUCCGCCCUCAAGGCCAGCAGCGUGGCAGCCUCGUAGCUGCGCCUCUCUCUGACCUCUGCUUCUGUCAUCCCCUCUCUUUCUCUGGCCCCCCUCCCCUCCUCCCUCUUAUAGAGGUGCUUGUGGUGCCUUAGGCCACCAGCUAAUCAGUCUCCUUAUCACAAGAGUCACACAUUUAAUCACAUCCCAAAGUCCCCUGUGCCAUAUAAGGUGACACCUGCAGGGGCUGGCACCUGGAUGUCUUUGGGAGCUGCUCUUCUGCCCACCAAGGAAGCCCAGCCUGUGAAAACCUGUGGGGGGGGGGGGAGCACCCCACAGAGGACACGUAUGCAAAGGCCCGAGGCUGGAAGGAGCUGGGCAUGUUCUCAGAACAGCAAGAAGGCCACACGGCUAGAGACCAGUGCUCCAAGCGGCUCGAUUUCAACCCAGUCAUCCACAGCCCAUCUCACCUCUGUGCGUGAACGUGGUGUGCGCUAGGACCGGAGCAGCCAGGACGGCCCCUGGAGAGCAUCCCAGGGGCACCUGAGGUCACCUCCUCCCUCCCCUUGCUUCUAGCUGCUGACCCUUGACUCGCUUAGAAGAACAAGCGCCCUGGGUGUUUGAGGACGGUGCCAGCCCGCGUGCCCACCUAGAGCUGGGGACCAGACUGACUCUGGGCGAGGGGUGGGCCUAGCCCCUGGUACCUGCGUAUAAUCCUGCUCUUUCUUCCCCUCUGCAGGCCAGGCUUGUGUGGCUGAGGGAGGAUGGGGGCAGGAAAGGCUGGACCUCUAGCCGUGGCAGCCGCCUUCAAUGGCCGUAUUGUUAGCUCUGGGCUGCGGUGGGGAGGGCGCCAGGGUCUGGCUGAAUGAGGCAUCUGUGCCUGCUAGGUCAGGGUGCCCAGGUCAGGGGCUCUCCUGGGAGAUGCCGCCCACCCCCACCUCUGCCCAGGCCCUGCCCUUUGGCUUCCUAGUGGCCCUUGUACUGACUCCUCAGGGAACACAGCUGUCACCGGCUGGCGAACUGUGCCAUGGGCAGUUGGUUGGUGGCCUUUCCCAUUAUAUGUUAAGCUCUCCAAGAAGGCUCCCAUGUCCCAGUCCCCAGCGCAGGGCUUGGAUCAAAGAAGUUGUUUGAUGAAGGAGUGCGGUCAGUGGUCGGGUGAAUGAAUGAGACUGUUGCCGUUCUGGCUUCAUCUGGUCACCUCUUCCCUGGACCAUGGCACUACCGCCUCACCAGCUUCCCUGCCUCUCACCUUUCCUCCUCCACACCGUUACUGGGGGAUCACUCGAACACCCUCUGGGCUCCUGAGACCCUCAGGACCCAGCCAAGACCCUGCCAGCCUCACCCGGUAUAUUCACCCACUAAGUCUCUUCCCUGCCCUGACAUUUCCCAGCCUGCGCGCCCUUGCACUUGAGGAUCCCUGUCUGCAGAACGCCCUUCCUCCUCUUCGCUCCACGUGGUGACUCCUACUCCUGGUUCAAGCUGCAGGUUCCUCCAGGAAGCCUGCCUCGCUACCCCCAGCCUUUUCUGGGCUCUGCAACCUCCCUGCCCCACUCUGCUUCCCACAACCUCUGCACCGAUUAUAAUUGCCCGUUAGCACCACUGUCUUCCUAGCCAGACCCUGAGCUGCUCAGGGCAGGCCCUGAGUCUGGCCCCUGCUUUCAUCCCAGCCAGGGCCCUGGACUUGGUCAGGCACAGAGCAAAUGCUCAGCAGAGCUGUAGCCUCAGCCCCACGCCAGUGGGCCCCGCCUGAGGCCCAACUAGUGGGCACCUCUACCCUCUGGUGGUCAUUUGGGAUUACUGCACUUUUUGGGUCCUAUUCCUGGGCUUCACUAGGGUAAUGGACCCUUGAACAGUGUUUCUCAGGAUGUGGCCCCCGGACCAACAGCAUCAGCAUCACCUUGGUAUUUGUUAGAAAUGAAAUUCUUGGGCUGUGCUGUAGACCUAUGGGUCAGAAACCCUGGGGG
Molecule: non-coding RNA, 2839 nt
Organism: Sus scrofa (pig)
Lineage: Eukaryota; Metazoa; Chordata; Mammalia; Artiodactyla; Suidae
Source: RefSeq, a predicted model, not a curated record